Long non-coding RNA from Oryzias melastigma (Indian medaka), 687 nucleotides. RefSeq lists it as uncharacterized. The record is from RefSeq and is a predicted model, not a curated record. The transcript has 2 exons. Lineage: Eukaryota; Metazoa; Chordata; Actinopteri; Beloniformes; Adrianichthyidae.
UGAGACCACCAUCCAGCUUCCAGAAGUAAACGCUGCUACAGUCACACAAUGGUACAGCAGGCGGUGUCGGGCACAAGAAAAACUCAUUCUGAAUCAGGGCAUCCCACAACCUGCUGCUUCCAUGGCAGCAACAGAAAAACUUCCUGAUCCACUUCAGAAAGGACAACAGCUGCAAACGGGGACCUUGGCUGAGCCUCACAUUUUUGUAUUGCCACCAAACACUGCUGGGGAGGCAAAACUGAAACCGAGGCCACAGCGGCAGAUGCCAGCACCCCAAAACCCGGACUUCUUUCCUUUGUUGAGCUCUGCACCCAUCAUCAUGCAAUCAGGGUCCAGUUCACAGGUGUUGGUUCCACCCAUUUUGAACAUUCCUCUCGGUGUAGUCAUGCCGCCUCCUGCUAUGAUAAUCAAAGACUCUGUCCCACCAUCACCUCAGCCUGCUUCAAACACACCAUACACAACACAACAAUACAGAAAGAGAAAGAUGGAAGCAGAGCAAAUAGGUGUCACCAAAAGGAAAUAUGUUAAAAAGAUCGAUCACAUAACAUGCAGCAAAUGUGGUGCAAACAGACAGCCACCAUCACACCGUCAGUACUUUGGAAACUGGUUUUGUGAAGCCACGGAGACUCAAACAUAUGACAGUUGGAGAGCAGAACUAGAGAAACGUGGAUAUGGUAAAAAAAAAAA